Non-coding RNA from Xyrichtys novacula (pearly razorfish), 545 nucleotides. The record is from the annotation of a GenBank genome assembly. Lineage: Eukaryota; Metazoa; Chordata; Actinopteri; Labriformes; Labridae.
GAGCAGUAUUGCAAGGCAGAGCGCCACCGCUGUGGACCCUUAUGGGUAAGUACAUCUACAACGGCACAGAAGUCCUGAUAUGAUUCCUUCACAAAAGAGCUCAACUCUAUGAUUGGUCAGUCAAAAGUUUUGAUGCUGACAUGAAUUGUAACUAAUUGUGUUUGUGCCACAGGUUUCCAAAUAUCAGACAGAGCUGCGAUAUGAACUCUUGCCUGCAGAGUUUCUUAACACUGGAGCAGUUUGUUCAGGACAUCAGCCGUCGAAAGAAGUUUGGAAUUCAGCCCCUCAAGCCAAUUUGAUCAGGUACUAUAACUACAAACUCUCAGACUUCAUACACAGUCAUGUCACUCUCAGAUGUCUCCACAAACAUUCAGAAGAAAAUGAACCAACAUAUUAACUCUUUUCUAUUCUUCUCUGCAGACAUUUUAUGGCUCUGAGGGAUGCUCAUUUGUUAACGGACCGGCAAAGUAAAAGACGUCUUCUGCAAUCGUUCAAGAAGGCGGUCUCUGAUCAGGAACCCCAAUUCAGGGACGACCAACAAAAAG